RNAcentral lists this ribosomal RNA (253 nucleotides) under uncultured bacterium. Its description in RNAcentral is "partial 16S ribosomal RNA". It matches the Rfam family "Bacterial small subunit ribosomal RNA", at positions 524 to 776 of the family's 1533-position model. The record is from RNAcentral.
UACGUAGGGGGCAAGCGUUGUCCGGAUUUCUUGGGCGUAAAGAGCGUGUAGGCGGUCUGGUAGGUCCGUUGUGAAAACUCGAGGCUCAACCUCGAGACGCCGAUGGAAACCAUCAGACUAGAGUCCGGAAGAGGAGAGUGGAAUUCCUGGUGUAGCGGUGAAAUGCGCAGAUAUCAGGAAGAACACCCGUGGCUAAGGCGGCUCUCUAGUACGGUACUGACGCUGAGACGCGAAAGCGUGGGGAGCGAACAGG